AUUGCCUUUACUUCAUUUGAUUCUCAUUCAAGUCCUUCACAUCACAUUCACAUAUAUGAUAUCAUGUCAACACUUCAAUUCCUCAUAUAAUGCCUCCAAGGCCAUAAACACAAUAUAUUCGAUAAGUAAACACCUCCACCAUAAGUGGAUCACACAUCAAUCUAUCACAAUUCUAUAUCAACUCUACCUUAACAAUGAAGUUAGGUCCACUACCCUUUUUCCCAAGCCACAAUCACCAUUCCUCUACUUUCCAACAAUUCACAAUAGAUAAGCAUAGAUAAUAAUAGAAGUCAACUAUUCAACUCAAUCCAAGCAUACUUCCCUCAUCAUUCAAUCAUAAAUAAUAAACCCACUUCAUAAGCCAACUUUAAGAAACUUGCCAAGACAUGGGUUCAUGGAAAUUUCUAUCUUAAAACCAUCAAUAGACACCAUUAAUAACGUAAAUCAUCAAAAAAAAUCAUUUAAUGCAAGAACCCAUGCUUAGAAUAGAAAUUAGGAUUUUUGUGUUUUUGGAAGAACUUUGAAUCAUUUGAAUUGAGCUCCUUGAAAGGAAGAAUAAUCAUGGAUAAAGGAUCCCCAUACCUCUAAGUUGAAAACCCACGAGAAUUGAAGAAGAAGGAACUCAAAAUCUUCAAUCCUAGCUCCAACUUCUUCUUCUUCUUCUUCCCCUCUUCUUCUCUUCUUCACUCAAGAACCCUAACUCUUACUAUUUUAAAAUGGAAAAAAAUUUAUCCACAAUCAGCCUAACACAAUAAUAUAACCUCAAAAGAAAAGAUUUGUGAAAAGACC
RNAcentral lists this long non-coding RNA (789 nucleotides) under Solanum tuberosum (potato). RNAcentral describes it as "long non-coding RNA (STUB_LNC000725)". Lineage: Eukaryota; Viridiplantae; Streptophyta; Magnoliopsida; Solanales; Solanaceae. The record is from RNAcentral.